This 714-nucleotide ribosomal RNA is filed under the name Triticum aestivum (bread wheat). Its description in RNAcentral is "partial small subunit ribosomal RNA". The record is from RNAcentral. Lineage: Eukaryota; Viridiplantae; Streptophyta; Magnoliopsida; Poales; Poaceae.
CGCUGACACUUACUCAAGCCAUAGACGUUGAUUUCAGGAGUAGAACUUGCCAGGCCAUCAGGUGUCUGUUUCAAGGUGUACGCCUGCAGUGUUGCAUGUGCUCAGUCACUCGAGUUGCAGUUAUGUUCCUGAAACCAAGAAAUUACCCAAAUUACAAUUAUAAUGCACAAAUCAUCUCUGAAAUCCCAACCCAUAUUGUAAAGCUUGAAGGCUACACCUUUGAGAGCUUCAGCCAAAAAAGAAACAAAUAUCAGUAGUAUGUACAAAUAUUAAGAGACCUGAUGUAUUUGGAUUCUUUUAUUUGCAUGGAAGACAAUAAACAGACAUCGAUGGCACCCAAGUAGCAAGGCAAGACAUAACCAGACACACAUUAACAUGUUAAUUGUUACAAUAUGUAUUUUAAAUAGAACGGAGCAAAGAGUAAUACAUUCCUUGAAUUAUGAUCCAAGGUGACUUUUUCAUACUCCUUAUUUUUUUUAUAGUGUAGGUGUAAGAAGGAACUCUUAUAUAUUGAAGGUGGUUUUUCCCAGUCAACUCGUUGCAGUUUUAGUGGGUGGUGGCUUCCACUGUAACUCUGAACCUCUAUUUCCCUUUGGGGCGGUGUAAGAAGGAACUCUUAUAUAUUGAAGGUGGUUUUUUCCAGUCAACUCAUUGCAGUUUCAGUGGGUGGUGGCUUCCACUGUAACUCUGAACCUCUAUUUCCCUUUUGGGCAA